UCUGUCUCUGUGCUUGCAUGUAGAUAUUAUUUUGCAGGUGUGUGCUAAUCUAUUUCUAUGUUUAAGAUGAUCAAGAAAUCCACUAAGUAUCACAUCAGUUAGACAGGAGGAGGAGAAGAAAAGUGAAAGCUUAUUCUCUUCAUCCUUUUUCUUGAUAGAUCUUGUUAGAGACUCCUUUUCGGUUCAUUCUAUUGACCUGCCUCUUUCCUUGAACUCGUGACUCAAUUUUGGGCCUUGCACUCUGCUCAUUGUUUUCUCUAGUGAGGGCUGCAACGCUAGAAAAGUGAAAGCUUAUUCUCUUCAUCCUUUUUCUUGAUAGAUCUUGUUAGAGACUCCUUUUCGGUUCAUUCUAUUGACCUGCCUCUUUCCUUGAACUCGUGACUCAAUUUUGGGCCUUGCACUCUGCUCAUUGUUUUCUCUAGUGAGGGCUGCAACGCUUGCCAAUCCCCGAGGGGCUGCAGUUGUCAUGGUCCAUGAUCAUGUUGGAUGUUUGUUUGAUAGCACAUUGUGUGGUCAUUUAUCUUUUUAGCAUUCUUCGGAGGCCUGGAAAAAAUGCCUUAAAAUACUCAUUGGCAUGGAGUUGGUUCAUUUUUUUUGUUUUAUUAACAAAUUUCUGAUGGAAUCAUGAAGACAUACAGGCAGAGAUAUUAAGGUGAUGUGAAAUAGGAUUGACUGGUUACAUUGUAAAAGUUAAUGGAGGCAUUAGGAGAAUCUGGGGGUAGCAAACCACGAAAUGAGAAGCCAAGAAGGUUAUUCAAAAGUUUUAUGUAGAAGAACAUGAGAAGUUAUAUAGUUAUCUUGGAAACGAGGAUGGGGAGAAAGUUGUUCACAAGAUACUCUCGGCAACUGGUAAAGGAAAAUUGAGAUUUGAAUCAAGUCUAACUUAUUAAAGAUGAGAACCAAAGAGCUUUGUUUUGUAAUGAUGAGAUUACAGAAAGAUCAGAGAAUUAUUUUAACAUCAAUUAAUGAGAGGCAUGGUGUGGACAUCUCGAACUCAGCUGUGGAUAGGAAUAUUAGUUAUGUAUCAUGGCCACAAUAUGUGCUGAACUUAACUCUUUUUACUAUGUUCCGAGAGGAGAAAAUUAACUUUGUUCUUUUCAUUUGUGUAGGAUGUCAUGAGCGA
Molecule: long non-coding RNA, 1123 nt
Filed under: Olea europaea (common olive)
Lineage: Eukaryota; Viridiplantae; Streptophyta; Magnoliopsida; Lamiales; Oleaceae
Description: long non-coding RNA (OEUR_LNC000004)
Source: RNAcentral